GAUAGCAAGCCGAUUCUGUAGUCCCGAAAGGCAUAAAAUGUCUUGGUAUAGGCAAUUCUUUGUCUGAUGGAAGAGGUUUAGGACGGGCAACUGUGCUGAAUUUGCUGCGGUCUUGUAGCAGAUCGGACAGCUUGCGAGUCUCCUUUGAUGCUUUUCUACCCAUCCAAUAUCGGCAACCCCAAUUAGGACACCAUCCAUUGAAACAACUCUUCUUUUCAUCUAGAUUUGCUUUCAAAGUUCGGACAUCGGCCAUUUUUUUGACUACAUCCGCCAGCCACUUCUCUACAUCUUUCUCAACUACUAUAGCGCAAUGUUUUUGUCGUUCUUCGUCUACUUUUUCGUUGAUGCCAUCUUGUGCCUCCUUCAAAUUAGUUUCUUUAUCCUCAAGUUCUUUAACAAUGCUGUUGAAACAGAACAGAUAGCGAGCUUGUUUUACGGUAGCAUCCACCAAUAAUUCUCCAAGCUUUGAUGCAAUACCUGCUAAAAUUUCCAUGCUAUUUAUCUGCAAUUAACAAAGUUGAUCUCAGUACACUAUAAGCAAAACAAGGAGGCUUGAUUACAAGAUCGAAGGAGAACGUUUAAUUACUUUUUUCUGUUUAUUAGCGCCAACUUUGAUCAAUAAGAACAAAAUAAUGCAAGCACCGAGCUUUAAGUAGACUUUAGCUGCAAAACAGAAGAGAAGAAGUAAGGUAAACGUGCUAUAUGGUGGAUUAUAUUGAAAUUAGAUUACUUUAGAAAUUUUUAAACAAAAAUAUCAAGCAUCAAAUUUAAUAGAAUUUAUAUAAGCCUCAGAGUUCGUUGCGAGGGGGUGGUUUUCGAGUAGUGGGUUCAAGACUGGGAGGAGGUAAGGGUCAAAAAAAAUAAAUUUGAACUUUGUACACCCCUUAUUUAUUUAUUUAUUUAUUUAUUUAUUUUUCGAUGAGCUCGUUGUGAAUUGUGAGUGAAGACAGGUAGUUUCAUGAGGGAAUAUGGAAAGAGUGAUGAAAACUGAAAAGCCACCCAUAAUAACAGUUGAAAAGAGUAUUAGAUAUUAAGACGGCUUCAACAUCCUAUGCACGUGCACUCAUGAAAAAAUUUCAAGGAAAAAUUAAUUUUAUUUUUAAAGUAUGGUCAACAAUACUGACUUGGAGGUGAUUGACGCUAACCAACCAUCUUUGACUUAAGAAUUAAUAAAAAUACUAUUAACAAUAAUUAAUAAUAAAAUAAAUAAAAUUUAAUAAUAAUAAAUGUUAAUAAUAAUAAUAUUAAUAAAAAUAAUAAUAACAAUAAUUAAACUAAUAAAAAUAAUAAAAUUUAAUAAUAAUAAUAAAUAUUAAUAAUAAUAUUAUUAAAUUUUAUUUAUUUUAUUAUUUUAAUUAUUGUUAUUAUUAUUUUUAUUAAUAAUAAUAAUAACAAAAUAAUAAUAAUAAUAAUAUUGUUAAUAAUGAUAAAUUAAUUAUUUUUAUUAAUUAUUAAUACUAUGAAUAUUUUAAUAAAUUAAUACUAUAAGUAUUUUAUUAAUAAUAAUAAUAACAAAAACAAUAAUAAUAAUAUUAUUAUUAAUAAUGAUAAAUUAAUUAUUUUUAUUAAUUAUUAAUAUUAUGAGUAUUUUGAUAAAUUGAUUCUUUUUUUCAUUUAUUUUGUCGAGUAAACACAUUCCUAUUCUAAUUUAUUUUUGCUAAGUAAAUAUUAAAAUAUAAUUCUCAUUAUCUCAUUUUCAUUUCAGCCUAUUUUCAUUUCCGUUAGCCUAUUUCCAUUCUCAUAAAGUAAACGCACCAUAAAAUAUUAAGAACUUAAAAAUUCUCGACCAUUUUAUCUGUAUAUUUUUAAUCCAACGUGCAAAAUUGGCAUAAAACAAACAUCAAGUUAAGAGCCUGUGAAACAAUAAUAUAGCAUACCUUCUUCCUUAUAUAUCCUCAAUUACUCCUGAAAGCUCCGGUUAGAGAGUCAUACAAGUUCGGAGAAAAUUAAAAACUGCAUCCAGCAAUAUAAAUAAACAUCAAAUCUAAACAAACAUAGCAUAUAUCUAGCUAAUUAACAUCAUCUGUAGGUCAUUGUAAAAUAUAAUAUAUUAAAGUGAGUAAUUUGUUUAUUUUUUUAUCUCUUAAUUUAAUAAUUUAAGAUAUUUUUAAUUUAAUAAUUAUUAUUUAUAUUUUUUUUUUAAAAAAAUAAACAAUUUAAGUGAGGCGAAGGACAUUUUAGAUGGCAAUAAAGUAAAAACAGUAGACUACCAAUCUACUAUUUUGGUGGAUUGCAAGAGAGUGAAAAUGAGUUACUUUCAAAAAAGAAAAGGUGACAGUGAGUUGUCAAUUUCAUCUUGUCGGCCAAUACAUCAACUUUUUGCUGGAUUAUUAUCACCGUAAAAAAUAAAUUAUUGAAUCACAAGCAAAAAGCAAUCUGUCUUCUUCUUGAUUUCGUAAUUUAGCUGUCAGAAGGCAAUCUAUCAAGAUUACGAUUCCUCAAUUCAAAAUAAAUGACAAUUGAACGUACAAUCUACCACGAACACACCAUUCAAUUAACCAUUUAUUUAUUGAAUCACAAGCAAAAAUUUAUUUUGUUCAAUUUAUAAUAUUUUUAAGGGUAUUUCUCUGACCCCAAUGAAUUCAUCCAUUCAAGUGAAUUCAAUCGGAUGAAUAAAAUAAUAUUAUGAUACCACCAUUACAUUAUAGUCAGACCCUUCAAUUUUUAAUCUCAAUGAAACAUAGAUAAAAUGAAAACCACACAUAUAUAAAAAUACUAUAGAUUGAACAAAAUGAAUUUUUCUUGUAAGUAUUUUUUAUUAAUUCGAAAGAAUUCUAGCAAGUUUUUUUUUUUCGAAACUGGAAUUUUAUUGAUUGGAAAAACUACAUUUUUUUUUUCCUUUGCCGUUAAGAGUUUUCGAGGUACAAAAAAAUGCGUGAAGGAUGAAGAUGAGAGAAGAAAAAAUAUUAAGAAUAGUUUUUGCAUUUUGAUGCAGUUUUAUAGAGCAAACCCUACAUUUGCAAAUCUGACAAUUUUUAAUGGAGUGUUACGAAAAUAAGGGUGUUUAAAGUAUAUUUUAAAGUAGGGUAAAAAUUUAUUUAGUCUUUAUAUUUUAAAAUUAAUAUUUAUUUAAUCUCUAUAUUUUUUAAAAUAUUUCGAAACAUUCUUGCCGUUAAAGUGUUAAUACUCCUACCAUUACUUUUUAUUUAUUUUCACUUAUUUUUACAAUAUUAUUAUUUUAUAAUAAUUUUUUUGUUUAGACAUUAAUAAAAAGAAAAUAAUUAAAUUACUAAUUUAAUCUUAGAAAAUUAAAAAAAUUAUAUUAAUUUUUUUUAUAAGCACCAUUUGCACACUUGGUAGUUUGCAUACAAUUUUUAAUAAUUUAAUUUUUUAUAAUUAAAAAUUAAUAUAAUUUUUUUUUAUUUUUAGGGUUAAAUUGGUAAUUUUAUCAUUUUCUUUUUAUUAAUGUCCAAAAAAAUUAUUAUAAAAGGAUAAUAUUGUAAAAGUAAGCCAAAAAAAUAAAAAAAUAACGGUAGGGGUAUCAAUACUUUAACGGCAGAGAUGUUUUGAGAUAUUUUUAAAAAUAAAAUAAUUAAAUAAAUAUUAAUCUUAAAAUAUAAGAACUAAAUAAAUUUUUACCCUUUAAAGUAUAAAUAGGUACACCUAACAUUUAAUGAUAAAACUUUAAGAAAAAAUUUCACUUGUCAAAAAAAAAAAAAAACAAAAGCUCGACUCAGUCCAAAACUUUUUUAUUAAUCGUCUAGUCGCUAAUGUAAUCUCUUUUUUAUGAGACUCUUUUUUGUUUUAAUUUAUUAGUUCAGUGUUAGCAAUCCUAUUAGCUGUUAUGUGCAUCUAUUUUUAUUAUGCUCCCCAACCAAAUAUGUUUUAAUCUUGAAUAAUAAAUUAUAUAUUUUUUUUAACUGAUGCUUAUUGUAUUAUACACAUAUAUUUUAUAAUUAUUAUGACAAUAGAUUAUUAUAUAUUUAAGAUUUAUAUUAUUAUAUUUUUAUUCUAUAAAAUAUAUGUCUAGUCAAAUAUUUUUUAAGUGAGAAAGAUAUCUCUACUCCACUUGUAUUUCUCAAGAGAAAAAAAUAAAAUUUUAGUCUAUAAAGACUCAAACUUCGUAAUCAUUCUUUAAUUUUAAAGACAAUAAUUCACCACUAGACUAUAAACUCCCUCAAUGAAUUGUAUACUUUUAGACAUAAAACUCCCUCAAUGAAUUGUAUACUUUUAGGACCAUACUUUUAAGGAAGAAAAAUAAAAGAUCCAACAAAAUAUUUUGUUAUUUUGGACAACUUUUGCGUUGUCAAGUGCGCCUGGGCCUCCCCUUCUCAGCCACUUGCAUUAAAUGCUACAAAUAUUAGAGACAAUAGGCUGCACGAUACAGGGGAAAGAAAUCUUAACAAUGCAGCCGUAAAAUAUUCACAUAGGAAAAUGGAGUGCAAGGCAGGAAUUUGUGGAAGGCGGGAGAGUGGAAGGUUACUCAAAAUCCACAAGAAAUAAGCAGUCAGAAUAUUUCCGAAGUUGAGGAGUCAGUAAAUGGGCCGAUAAAAGCCUACUGAAAGCCCAAAAGGAGGAGAUGGAAAGCAAAUGCAAGAGCCCAAACGGAAAAAAGGAAUUAGCAUUGAGGGACAACAACGACUAAAAGACCAAGCAGUGUAGUCAGUGGGCAAAGCCCAAAGUCAAAACGGGCAAAGUGGAUAUGCUAAUAGUGAUGAAAAUUGAAAAGCCACCCAUAAUAACAGUCAAAAAGAGUAAUAGAGAUGCGAAGCCUUCAACAUCCUUUUGCAGGUGCACUCAUGAUAAAAUUUGAAGGAUUUCAAGGCUAUUACUCCCUUUUUUCUUUAAUCAAUAUUUUAAUAAAAUAAUAUCGUAAUUCCCAAAUAUUAUCCUUUUUUUUUUAUUCAAGUGUUCAUGAUACCCACCUAUUGGAUAAUUAAUUUAAUUAUUUGUUAAAUUAUUUAUUACUCUAUCUAAUUGGUAUUUUAAGUAAAUUGAAGUGAAGAGUAUUUUAACAAGUUAAAAUAAUUCAUCCAUAUUAACAGACCAAUAUGUCAAAAUUUUAAAACUUAAUCUUUUCUUAUUCUUUUAGUAAAACAUAAGGGACACAUCGUUAAUAUCCAAAUAAUAACUUCUUGGUUUGGUUUGGAUCCAAGGUUUGAUCACAAAAAGACAAAAAAAUGAGUAUGAAACCAUAAUUACAUUGUAGCUGGACCUAUUAAUUUAAUCAUUUGUUAAAUUAUUUAUUACUCUAUCUUACCAUAUAUCCAAUGUAUAUAAAUGUCACCUUAUUUGGGGUGGUAAAAAUUGGGGUAAAUUGAAUAAUUUGUAUAAGGAUAAUUUAGGUUUGUGUAAUUUAUAUGAAGAUAAUCUGCAGAAUAAGCUUAUAUGUCAGUUUUAAAAGAGGGAUAUUAGUAAUCAUAAAUUUAUCAAAUUUUUUAAUAAAGAUUUUGUUUAAAAAUUGGCCAACUGGGUUUCAUGAGUAAAAUAGAGGAGCAUGAACGGCGCGCCACUUUUAAUUUUUAUUGUGGUUGUACAAUUGAAAAGACGCAGCAAAUGGACCAAUUUGAAAUGGCAAGAGAGCAUAAGAGUAUGGACUCAUGUUGGGACUUGGGUAGGAAAAUUAAUUUUAUUUUUUAAAGUAUGUUCAACAGUACUGACUUGGAGGUGAUUGACGUUAAGUCAAAUUAAUACAAACAAACGGCAAAAAUAAUUUAAUAAAAAUUAAUUAAUAAAAAAAUGCAUUAAAAAUUAGAACUUAAGUUCUUGAUCUUUUAUCCGUAUGUUUUUAAUCCAACGGCACAGAAUUGGCAUAAAACUAGCCAAGUAAAUACACAAAAAUCAAAUUAAGGGCCCAUGAAACGAUAAGAUCUCAUACCUUCUUUGUUAUAUAUCCUCAAUUACUGUUGAAAGCUCCAGUUAAGAGAGUCGCACAAGUUCGGAGAAAAUUAUAAAUCUGCAUCCAGCAAUACAAACAAACAUCAGAUCUAAACAACAUGACAUAUAUCUUGCCAAUUAAUAACUGUUAAGUGGUAUAGGAAGCAGAAGUAACGUACCGAAAUGAGAGCAGCUAGUUUACAGAUGACAGAUCUGGUGACUUCAAGAGCAUGAGAAAUGAUUGAACUUUGGGAGAAAGGCCUGAAAUGAUAUAUCACUGAGAAUUGAAACGUGGAAAGUGAAAAUGAUACACAUGCCUUAUCAUCUAUCAUGAGGGGUAAUUUGGUAAAACUGAUUUAAAAUUUAAAAAAAAAAUUAAUAACAAGUUUUGUGUCCAACUGCUUGCAUUUGGGUAUCUUUCGGUUUGUUGUUGAGAGGAUGAGUUCAAUUAAAUAUAAGAUUUUCACUUUUUUUUUUAUAUAUUUUUCUUUAGAAUGAAUUUAAAUCUCAUUCUUUUUAAAUGAAAGUAGAUUUCUCUAUACAAAUUUUAGGUAUAUUUUAUCAUUAAUGUUCAACAAAUCUCUAAAUUAUAUUAUAAAUAUUUUUAUUUAAAAUCUCAACAGAUUUCAUAACACACAAAAAGAAAUACAUAUAUAUAUAUAUUGUAAUAUUCUAACAAGAGAUUUUUAAAGUUAUUAAGUUAAAAAUAAAUAAAAAAUAAAAAAUAUGUGUUUUAACAUAUUACAUAAUAAAAUAUACUGUAUUAAAGUGAGUAAUUUAUUUAUUUUUUAUUUUAUCUCUUAAUUUAAUAAUUUAAGAUAUCUUUUAUUUAAUAAUAAUUAUUAAAAUUUCUGUUUCCCAUUAAACGCAGCAUAAGUGAAGCAAAGGACAUUUUGGAGGCGUCUACCGACCCACCAUUUUGGAUUGCAAUAAAGUGAAGGGUCCCGUUAACUUACAGCUUGUGUCGAUUACAUUCAUAACAAAUUAAUAAUUGUCUUUUGUUCAAUUAUCUGUUCAUUUCUUCAAUCAAGUCCUCGUAUCCUUUUAAUUUAUGAUAAGAUCCUCGCAUGGACCAGAUCUGCAUGUGUGAUAAUUACGGCGGGACCCCCAUUUUUUAAUUUGAAUGGUCAGACCCAUGAUUACACGUACAGACCUACAGUAUAAUGUCAACAACCAGCUGUAAAUUUCCAUGGACACAAAUACCCCCAACUAGUGCUCGCUAAGUACUUAACUACACAUAUAUAAAUUAAUCACAUGUAAUUUUAUUUUUAUAUUUUACCAUUGACUAGGGAUGGCAAUUUUUUCCAAUGGGAUGAGAUUAUGUGGGAUCUCAUUCCAUUUGGAAUAGAAUUGUGAUAUAUUUUUAUCUUAUAAAAAAAUUUGGGAUGGAAUUGAGACAUUUUUUUAUCUCAAUUACACAUGCGGAACGGGAGUGAGAUUGACAAAUUUCGUCCCAUCCCGUCUCAUUACUGAUUAAGAAUGAAAAUUUUUUCAAUUGAGAUGGGAUCCCGCAGGACCCCAUCUCUUUUGGGACGAAAUUAGAACAUAUUUUUAUCCCAAAAAAAAAUAUAGGGAUAAAAUUAAAACAUUUUUUCAUCCCAUUUAUAUAUACGAGAUGGGAUUGGAAUUGGUAAAUCUCAUCCCAUCCCGUCCCAUUGCCAACCCUGCCAUUGACUCUAAUAUUAGAUUCCCGCUAAACCAACCCAGUGUCCUUUUAUUUUUUAGCAUUAAUAUUAAGGUCUCGCUAACCUUAAUAUUAGCGAGACCCAAUGUCCGCAUAUCUUUGAUUGUUUAUUCUGAGCUGAUGAAUGGUUUCUUCGUCCAUCGUUUCUAUAUUUAUUAAAAAAAAUUAAUUUUUCGCUGUACUUUUAUAAGGGUCUAAUGUUUAUAAAAAUUUAUAAAUUCUGAAUACAUUUUAAUACCUACAUUUAUAAUUUCUUAUUUCUCUUGAGACAUAAACUAGAUUUUUUCUUUUAAUAUGUCUAUAUAUAUUUUUAAUCUAUUUUUCCAUCCAAAGCACACACCAUCAUCAAUAUUCUCAUCUCUUGCCACUCUCAUCUUCAAACUUUCUUGGCAAAAAUUUCAAUUAUGAAACAAAAUUACCGUCUUCUAUGCAUUUUAUUUUGAUUUUAGAAAUAUAUCAAGAAUCUCAUGCUAACAUUUGUGUUAAAAGAAGAAAACUUCAUACUACUAAGUACUUUCUCGGAGACUAUUGCUAAAAAGUCGCCCAAAAAAUUUCUUUUAGACUAGUUUACAGUGUAUCAUGUUGGGUCGUGUGGAACAAUAGUUGAGGUGAAGAUGUGCCUCUUCCAACUGAGUCUAAUUCGAAUAAGGUCGUUGCCCCCUGCAAAUCUAAUCUAGAUUAGAAUGUCAAAUUUUAAUAAUAUUUUAAAAUAAUUAGAUAAAUUUUAAUUUAUCCGCUAUUAAGAAUGGGAAUCUGCAAUGUAUCUCUCAUUAUGAAAAUAUUAAUUUACUCUAUUAAUUAAUAAGUAAAUAAAAAAAUUAAUCAAUGCAACCUUAUUUUCCAUUGUCUUGUAAAUAAAAAUGAGAGUAAAUUAAUAAUUUCAUAUUUUUAAAGAGUAAACAAAAAAUUGUCAUUUUAUUUAGAGAUGAAUAGAAAUUUACAUUAUAAAUUAUAUUAUAGCCAAAUAUACACAAAUUCUAUAGCAAACAUUUGUAUAGAGCUAUGAAAAGUAAUAAAAUAAGACGUAAGAAUUCGUAAACAUAAAUAAUUGAUAAAAGUUAUUUUUUUUUUCACAAAAAUUGUCUGAAAUAGAAGAAUAAUUAUUACAUAUGCAGAUAUGCUCCCAUACAAGGAUCUUAUCGCAAAUUGAACAAAUAUGAGGCUUGAUUGAAGAAAUGAACGCAUAUUUGAAUAAAAGAAAAAUUUAUAAUAAAGACAAGUAUCAAUUUGUAAUGAAUGUAACUUACAUAAGCUGUAAGAAAAAUCCCAGCAGAUUUCAUAACACACAAAGAAAAAUACAUAUAUUUAUUGUAAUGUUCUAAUGAGAUAUCUUUAAAGUUAUUAAGUUAAAAAUAAAAAAAUACAUAUUUUAACAUAUUAUAUGUUAAAAUAUAUUGUAUUAAAAUGAGUAAUUUAUUUUUUUUAAUCUUAUCUCUUAAUUUAAUAAUUUAAAAUAUUUUUUAUUUAAUAAUGAUUAUAUAUAUAUAUAUAUAUUAUAAAAAAAAAUUUAACUGGAGCAAAGGACAUUUUGGAGACUUCUACCGACGUACCAUUUUGGAUUGCAAUAAAGUGAGAACAGUAGACUACCAAUCAACCUUUUGCUACAUUAUUAUCACCGACAAUAACAAAUUAUUGGAUCACAAGCGAAAAGCAAGUUGUCUUCUUCUUAACUUCGUAAUUUCGCUGUCAGAACGCAAUCUAUCAAGAUUACGAUUCCUCAAUUCAAAAUAAUGCUUUUUCUGAUUAAAUAAAUAAAAAUAGAACGUACAAUCUGCCACGAACACAUCAUUCAAUUAAUAAGUUGAGCUAUCUUGAAACAAUUGUAAAAUGGCACUAAUUUUUAUUUUAUGUGAUGUUAAAUUUUAUUUAAUUUUUUUAUUUUUUAUUUAUAUUUUAUUUAUAACUUUAUGUACUUUAACUAAUGAUCUUUUAAAAUAUAAUUUUAUUUUAAUUAAUAUUAUUUAUUUUUUAUAUUUAUUUAUAAAUUUAUAUAUUAAUGUGUAUAAUUAAGUGAACAAAUCUUAUACUUUUUAUAGUUGUUGAUAAAUUCUAAAUUAUAUUCAACUUGCUAAAACUUUUAAAAUUUUUAUAUAUCUUUUUUUUUUUCAACUAACUCCAACGAUCUCAAUAUCACUCACACCACAUAAACUUUCAAUAACAUCUAUAAUAUUAUGAAAAAAUAACAUAAACAUGUUAAAACAUAAGGAUCAAUAAUUUAUAAUAUACACUUAAAGAUUAAUAAAUAUUAAUAAAUAAAAAAAUACCUCAGAAGAUUGUGUUAUCAUUCACACGUAUAUCAAGUUAUCAACCAAUAAAAGUUAGAAGUGUUGAAUGCAGUAGAAGUAUCUAAUGCGGUCGUCGAAAAUCGGGUGGUUUAAACAAAAAUAAAAAAAAAUUAUUAGCCAGCAAUACAAAUAAAGAAGUAACGCAAGAUAAAGAAUAAAAUAAGAGAAUAUAUUAUAAAAUAAUUUUAUUUAUUCUAAUUGUGUGUGUACAAAACAAAAAGAUGAUCUCUCCUUUUAUACUUACAUAAUUACUCCAUUAAAUUAAUAAAAAAUUAUGGAUCAUAAUUUCUUGUGAGAUAGUGAGAGUUAUAGGGAAGAUAAAUAUUGCUAAUGGGAGAUAUUGGGAAGACUAAGAGAUAUAUGUUAUAAACAACUAUAUUUAUUUUAAUAAAUUCAUAGCACUCCCCCUUAUAUGUUCAUUACAAAGAAUAUGUCUUAUUAAAACCUUUAUAUAAUUAUUAUUGUGUAAUAAUAAUUAAAUUAAUUAUGAGAAGAUGAAAAACUAAAUUUAAAAAAAAAUUAUGUAUUAAAUAAUAAAAAAUAUACAAAGAAAAAAAAUAAUAAUACUACAUCACCUCGAAGUCUCAACUUUAUAUAACCCAAAAUUUUUUUAUUAACCGUCCAAUCACUAAUGUAAUCCUUUUUUUAUGAGAUUAUUUGGCGUUUUAAUUUAGUCUAUUGUUAGCGAUCCUAUUAGCCGUUAUAUGCAUCUAUUUUUAUUAUGCUCCCCAAGCAAACAUGUUUCAACCUUGAAUAAAAUCUGCGGGGAAACGGCAACUGGCAAGUAAUAAAGCUUGUUGUUUUUUAUUUUGAAAAUAAAGGAAAUUUCUCAGUAUGAUAUUGUUUUUGAUAAGUCAUUUUUUGGUGGAACAUUUUUCUGACACGCUCUUGGAUUUGGUGAAAAUAAAUUGUAUACGUGUAAUGAAGAAAAGUAAAAGAUCAACAAAAUAUUUUGUUGUUUUCGACGACUUUUGAGUUGUCAAGAGCGCCUGGGCUGGGCCUUCUCAGCUAUACUUGCAUUAAAUGCUACACGAUAUGGGGGAAAGAAAUCUGAUCAUUACAGCUGUAAAAUGUUCACCCACGAAAAUAGAAUGCAAGGCGGGAAUUUGUGGAAGGCGGGAUGAAAUAAGGGUACAUUUCGUGUUAAUUUUUCAAAAAAGCCAGUCACUACCAGUCACUAUACAUGUCACUGCUGGGGUGUGUGUAUAUAUAUAUAUAUAUCUAUAGAAUAGUAAGUACAUAAUGGAGGGUGUGUUUAGGAUUGAGAUUAGACAGUUGUAAUUUAAAAAUUACAGUACUAAAGUAUUUAGUAAACACUAAUUACUGUAGCUUUUAAACUAUGUUAAUAUAAUUUUUCACUUGUAUAAUACAAAAUUUAUUAUAUCUUUAAUAAUUUUAUCAAAAUUAUUAUUUAAAAUUUAUAUUUACUAUAUAUUAUUAAUUUUUGUUUCAUAAUUACAAUUUUUUUUUACAGCAACUGUAACUUAAAAGAUACAGCACCUCAAUCCCAAACGCACCCAGAGUCUAAUUAAUUAAUCAAUUGGUGUAAAAUUUGUAUCUCCUUACAUAUAUAAAUCAUCUGCACAAUGGCGCAAGACAACUAGACAAGUGCUUUAUUAUUGGCUUGCUGCAGUUCUGAACAGCCUCCAUUAGCUUCUUGAUUGCGGGAUAGCUUGAUCACUAGAAACUGCUUUUUGAUUAAAGGAAUUAAUUAAAUUGCCACAGUGGAAAGAUGAUGAUCAGUGGCGGACCUACACGUGGGCUAGACCGGGCUGUAGCCCGGUCUAGUCCAGACAAAAUUGUUUAUACCCCUUAAUGUUUCAUUAAUUUAGUAAACUUAUAGAGUUUUAAUUUUAUUUUCAUAUAUGUCCCUAACUCAAUUACCCUUAUAUUUUCAUCAAUUUAGUAUAACAAUAGAGUUUUUAUUUUAUAUUCAAAUAUGUCCCUAACCCAAUUACCCUUAUGUUUUCAUCAAUUUUAUAUAACAAUAGAGUUUUUAUUUUAUUUAUAAAUAUAUCCCUUAUUCAAUUAUAUUAUUUUCAAUUGAAAUUAGUGACUUAUUUUAUAAAAUGAUUAAAUCAUAUAUUUAUUGAAUAGAUUGAAAACAUUAGGGAGCUAAAAUUUUAUUACUACUUUAAUUUAUUUUAAAAAACUUCUAAUUGAAAAAAAAAAUUGUCAAUGUAAUAUUAACAUUGUCACUAGUAUUAAAAGUACUUACAGAAACAACAUGCAGUAACAAUUAUCAAUAUUUUAUAAAAAUUUAUGUGAAUUUUCAGAUUUUUUUUAUUAGUUAUAUUAACUAAGAGGGCAAGUUAGAAAAUAAAAUUUGAGUAUUUUAAGGAGUUUUUGAUAGAAGAAUUAUCAACAUCUAGUUUUUUAAAGAGAGCUAGAGCGCCUGACAAAGAAACAACUGCACCCAAAUACAUUUUUGCUGAAUUGAGUUUAGUUUAUUAUUGAAACUUUUGACUAAUAAUACCUUUACAAUUUGAAAGGAUGAAUAAAUUUUAAUUGUUUAAUUUAUUAAGUUUAGUAAUUAAGUACUUCACCUCAAACAUAAAAGUGUUACUUGUAAUUUUUAAUUGAUUGUAAUUACAUGUAUUGAUCUAUUUUAAUUUGAAAUCCUUAAUUGAUUUUUUAAUCCUCAUAUAAUUAUAUAUUAUUAUAGGCUGCAGUGUCAGAUUCUAUAAUUGAAGAAUAAUGUUUUCAUAUUCGAGUUAUCUUUUGUUUUUUACUCUUUUUCUAUAAUUAUUUUUGUUUAUAGUUCAUAUUUAGAGAGAUAAAAUUUUUGGUAUUCCUCCUUAUUUAAUAUACUUAUUUUUAUAUAUAAAUUUUUAUGUUCGCUUCAAAAUAUAAAUUUUAAAAUUUAGCCCGGGGUAAUAUUAAGUCCUGGAUCCGCCCCUGAUGAUGAUACUGGCAUUGUUUCCAUUUUAGCAGCAGCCUUAGAUUUUGAGUUAGAAUCGGAUAAUUUAUAUAAGGAUAAUUUGGUGUUGGUAUAGUUUAUAUGAAGAUAAACUGCAAAAUGUGCUUAUAAUAUGUCGAAAUUAAAAAGAGUUCGAUAUUAGUAAUCAUAUAUUUAUCGAUUUUUGUAAUAAAAUUUAUUUAAAAAUUGGCCAAUUGAGUUUCAUGAAGAAAAUAAAGGGGCAAGAACGGCGCCACUUUUUAUGUUGUGUUUACUUGCUGGAGUGGGAGUGAGGAGUGUGAAGUGUGAAUUCCUCCCACUCCAGCGUUUACUUCCUCUAAAUGAGAAGGGAGUGGGAAUCCCACUCCGUGGGUCCCACCCAUUUUUAGAGUGGGGAGUGGGAGUGGGACUCCCAUUGGGGGGGGUGGGAGUGGGAAUCCACUCCCACCUCUCCCUUUUUUACCCUUUUAUUUUUUUAAUUUAAUAUUUUAUAAUUAAUAAAAUAAAAUAAGUAUUAUUAUAUUUAUUUGAAUAAUAUUAUUAUAUUUAUUUGAAUAAUAAUAUUAUAUUUAACUAAAUAAUAAUUUUCAUUGAUUCUAAGUUAAAAUUAUUUUAAAAUAAUAAUAUUAUAUUAAUAGAGAAUUAAUAAAUAUAAUAUUAUUAUAUUUAUUUGAAAAAUAAUAGUACUAUAUUUAUUUAAUAUUAAUAAUAAUAAAUAGUUUAUUCUAAGAAAAUAUUAAUUUUGUACUAAAUAAUAUUAUAUUAUUAUUUUAUAUAAUAAUAAAUUUAAUAUAAUUAUAUUAAAUAAAAUAAAAUAAGGUUUCAUUUUGUAUUAAAAUUAAUAAUUUAUUGUUCAUAAUUAAGAAUAUUAAUAAUUAUAAUAAAUUUACAAAUAUAAUAAAAUAAAUAUUAUUCAUUAAAUAUAUUUUUUAUUAGUUUUGUAAUUAAAAACUAUAAUUCUUUAAAUAAGGAUAAAAUUGUAAUUUGAAACCAUUUACUCCCAAUCCAAGACAAAGUAAACACAUAAAUUGGAUUCUGAUCUCUAAUCUAUGCUUCCAUUCCAGUGUAAGUAAAUAACCUACUCUCACUCUCAAUCCUAGGAUUCCCACUCCUCAGGAUUCUCAAUCCAAUCCAAUCCAAAAAGUAAACGCAACCUUAUUGUUGUUCUACAACUGAAAAGAUGCAUUAAAUGGACCAAUUUGAAAUGUCACGAGAGCAAUAUGGACUUAUGUUGGGACUUGGGAUUUAAACACUAAGGGCCUGGUAGGAAAAUCAAUUUUUAUUUUUAAACUAUGGUCAACAGUACUGACUUGGAGGUGACUGCCAUUAAUCAAUCAUCUUUAGCUUAAAAAUGAAUACAAACAGAUGGAAAAAAUAAUUUAAUGAAAAUUAAUGUAAUAAAAAAUUGCAUUAAAAGCUUAGAACUUAAAUUCUCGACCAUUUUAUCCGUAUGUUUUUAAUCCAACGCUCAAAAUUUGGAAUAAAACAAACUAGUUUACGUUAUAUAUAUCGGAUCUAGCCAAUUAACAUAAUAUAUUGGAAUUGAAACAAACAUCAAAUUAAGAGCCUAUGAAACGAUGUCUCAUACCUUCUUCGUUUACCUCAAUUACUGCAGAAAGCUCCAGUUAGGGAGUCACACAAGUUUGGAGAAAAUUAAAAGUUGCAUCUAGCAAUAUAAAUAAACAUCAGAUCAAAACAACAUCAGAUCUAGCUAAUUAACAUCUCAUAUAAAUUCUUGUUCUCUAUCAAAUCUUUAGUUCUCAGAAAGGAAAAAAGAAAAAAAAAAGAAGUUGAACUGUAAGUGAUAUAGGAAGCAAAAGUCACAUACCGAAAGGAGAGCAGCUCACAGAUCUGGUAACUUCCGAGAGCAUGAAAAAUGAAUGAGCUUUGGUAGCAAGGUCCCAGUCAUGCUUCACAAAUUGCUAUCGACUUCGUCGCUUAACUUUUCUUUUCUUUUCUUUUCCUUUUUUUUUUUUUUAUAAAUUCUAUACCAGUGUGAAUUGAAAAGUGGAAAGUGAAAUGAGGUAAUUUUUAGAUACUUUGCCUGAGGUUUAAUGUCUUCUCACUUAGAUUGUAUUUUCAUAUUAUCAAAUGCCUUCCCUACCCGUUUGUGUUCUCGUUUGGUAUUUUCUGACUGGUUGAGUGUAAUUUGGUAAAACUCAUUUAAAAUAAAAAAAUUUCAAAGAAAUUCAAAAGAUUUCAAAGAAGCUUGUACUUGCUGUUUGUAUUUGGGGUAUCUUUUGGGUUGUUAAGUGUUAACAGAAUGAGCUUAUAUCUACAAUAUUCAUCCUCUUAUUAUAAAUUUUUCUUUGUAAUGAAUUUGAAUCUUAUUCUUAUUAGGCUCUGGUGGUGUUUAUUUUUUUAAUCUAAAAUUUGAAUAACUUGAAUUAAUCUAAAUUCUAAAUAGAGUUGAAUAUUUAAAUCUAAAUGAUUUUUUUUUUGUGUCUAAACUGCUAAAAAUAAAUAUUAAGUUUUUUUUAACUUCAAAAGAUCUGAAAACUAAGAUUUUUACAUUUAUACCCUUACAAAUUAUAAAUGUUAAACAAAUAAUAAACAUCUCAAAAAAUAUAAAUAAGAUAAUAUAUUACCAAAACGUAAAUCAUAUUCAAUUCAAUACAACUCUUUAAUAUUCUAUAUUAUAUAUGUUAAUCAAUUUUAUUAUAGUUUAUGAUGUUUUUAUAUGAAAAAUAUUCAUAAAAAUUUAUAAAAAUAAAUAAUGCUAAUUUGAAGAAAAUAAAAAAGAUAAAAAUAAUAACAGUUUACCACUAUAUAUUAUCACAAGUUAUAUAAAGAUGGGUAAUAAUGCUAAUUAUUAAAUUUUAUUUAGGUAAGAAUGAAAAUUAAUUAAUUAGACAUGACACUUUGGAAAAUAUCGUUAGUAAUAUCAUUCAGACCUCUUAGAAUAAGUAAAAAGCUAAAAAAAUAACUUAAUAACUUAAUGACUUAAUGGCUAAAAUUUUUUAUUAAGUUAAAAAGUAAAUAAACUUAGUAACUUAACUAAUUAAAAUUAAGUCAAUUGAGUUAUUAAGUCAAAAAAAGGCCCUUCAUUCUCUUUAAAUAAAGGUAGAUUUCUCUCAAUGUAUUUGAAGUAUAUUUUAAAAUUAAUGUUUAAUAUAUCUCUGGAUUGUAUUAUAAAUAUUUAUAUAUGAAAUCUCAAUAUAUUCCAUAUGUGUGUGUGUGUAUUAAGUUAGUAACCUAAAGAUUAAGUCAAAAGAUAAGAAAAUACGCGCUUUAAUAUACUACGUGAUAAAAUGUGCAUUAAAGUUUGUGUUUUACUUAUCUUUUAAUUUAUCUCUUAACUUAAUAACUUAAAAAGUUUUUUAUUUAAUAAUGAUUAAAUAUAUAAUUUUAAAAAAUAAUAAUUUUGAGUAAAGCAAAGGACAUUUUAAGGCUUUUGCUAGACUACUUGUCUACUAUUUUUUUUUUUAAUAAAAGUGAGUAUUUUAUUUCAGAAAUCAACUUAAAGAUAACAUUCUAAAAAAAUGGGAUAAUCCUCCAAAUAUACUAAGAAUUUAGAAUCUUGAAGAGUAAAUUUCGCCAAUACAUCAACCACAUGGUUACAACAUCUAGAAAUAUGCCGGAGGUGGAAGUGAAAAUAAUAAAGUGAAAAUAAUAGACUACCAAUCUAUUAUUCAAAAGAUUAUCCGUCUACCAUUUUGGAUUGCAAUAAAGUGAAAAUAAUAGAUUUCCAAUCUACUAUUUUGGAUUGCGGGAAAAAAAAAAAAAGUGAAAAUGGGUUACUUUCAAAAAGAAAAAGUGUCCACUUCAUCUUGUCUGCCACUACAUCGACUUUUUGCUGGAUUAUUAUCACCGUCAAAAAUAAAUUAUUGCCACCUCAAGCAAAAAGCAAUCUACCUUCUUCUUCAUUUCAUAAUUCGGCUGUCAAAAAGCGAACUAGAUCAUGAUUUCUCAAUUCAAAAUGAUGCUCUUUUUGAUGAAAUAAACGAAAAUUAAACCUGCAAUCUGUCACAAACACGCCAUCUAAUUAAUAAUUUAUUUCCCCUUAUUUUUAAUCUCUAUAAAGUACAGAUCUAAUAAAAACUAAACGUAUGUAAAAAGACUAUAGAUUGAAGAAGUGAAUUUUUCUUGUGCGUAAAUAACGAAAGAAUUGUAACAAGUUAAUAUAAAAGUAUAAUAAUAGUACAAGAGAUUUUUUUUUUCUUUUGAUGUUAAGAGUUUUCUAUGUACUAAAAAUAAAAAGAGAGAGAGAGAGAGUGAAGGAAGAAGAUGAGAGAAGAAAAAACAUUAAGAAUAGUUUUGGUAUUUUGAUGGGUUUUAUAGAGUAAAAUUUAUAUUUUCAAAUAUGAUAAUUCUCUAUUUGGUUGUUAUGAAAAAAAAUGGGUAUUUAAUUAAUAUAUUACUUUUGACUUUAGCACCAAAGUUGGCACCAAAACCAUUAAAUUUGAAAGAGCUGUUGCAAGGUGGCUAGGACUUUUCCUAUGAAAAUAAAGGCAUGCAUGUAGGGUUGGGCCUCAAAAAUCGGAUUCGGAUAGAUUUGAUUCGAACCAAAAUGCUACCAAGAAAAUGUAAGGAAAUUUUACUUGGUCAUAGAAUUGUUAUGAAGUGGCUUCGACAUCAGAAGAUUCCAACGUCCACCGAGCACCAUUAUCUUCCGUCAGCUACAAUCUGCAUCACCAGCAUGAGCUAUACCAUUAACAUUUGUAUUCUCACUCUCAUCAUCCCAAUCAAGUGCUUCUUCUCCACCUCUGGAUUAUAAGGCCAUUCAAACCUCUUCAAAACAACUAAUACAGCUGCCUUCCUUGCCUUGCGGAUUAAUAUAUCCCUCGAAGAAAAUACUUGAUUUGAGCUACUUCUUAAUAUGAAUGAUAACUAAGUUAGUAGAUAACAAUAUAAGAAUAGUUAAAUCUAUUUAUUUAAAUCUAUCUAUUAAAUAAACAUAACAUCACUAUUUCUUUUAAUUUAUGAUAUGCACAUUAUAAUAUGUAUUAUAUUCACACGUAAUAUCUUUAUACGUGUUAUACAAUAUAAAAAAAUGUAAGAUCUUUACCCCAAAUUCUAAAUAUAUUUACUUAUACACGUUUGUGAAAAGAUACAUCACCCAUAUAAAAAGAAAUUUAAAAUGAACCCCAAAUAUUGAUUUUACUUUUAUAUUUAUUGAACAUGUCUUAAGCACGAGAAACUAGUGUAUUGAACCUGUCCUAAUCGUUUAAUUGAGUUUAUAUUCAAACAAAAUCAAUGUAUAAACGGAUAAAUGUUGAAUUGCAUAAGUCAUAAAGAACAAUUCUCACUUGCCUUAAAACUUUUAUCCUUCUCAAUAUAAUGUAAUUUAGCUUGACAUUGGCAAAAUAUAAUUUCCAAAAAUUUUGACAAAUUUUUUUAAUUUUAACAGCAGCUGAAAUGAUUUGUAUGAGAAUAUUUUUAUUAAAUCGUAGAAUAGAAUUAUGAUAGAUUAAUUACUAUAUUUAUUCACUUUAUAUAUUUAAUUAAGAUAUUAACUGAUGUAAGAUUUUAUGUGUGAUCUAUAAGGUGGUGAUAGACUAAUAAUUAAUAAUAAAAUCAAUUAAUAUCCUUAAAUAAUUUGUGAUCCACCAGUAAAUAUCUCAAUUAAAUAUUUAAAUUAAAUAAGCAUAACAUGUUAUUGAUCCAUUAACAUAUUUUAUUUUCAUCGUUUCAUUGUGAAAUGCACCUUGAAGAUGAGACCAAACACGUCCUUAGAAAUAGAGAGAGAUAAAGACAGAGGUUGGUGACCACACAAAUCUAUGUGUGGUCAGGACACGUGGGACGGUUUGAGAGCCUCCUAGAAAAGAGGUUGGUUCAUAGAGGAUGAGACGAGAAGAGAUGAGACCAGCAGAGGCCGGGUGAUUGAGUCUGCUGUCCACUUUUGGUAGGCCCGUAUCUGCAUGCCGCGUGGACUUUAUAGCGCAGGCUUAGUCAGUUCCCAGCUCGUAUUGACCGUUGAUCCUUCGCUACGUGGCAAUCAUCCAAUAAAAGUUUGUGGCUGGUCUGUAUUGCCUGGUACGUACCCGAUUUUUGAUUUUGUCGAUUUGAGUCAAAUGUACAUGCUCCUUUUCAUCUGCUGUAGUCAAUUCGAGGCUGCAAAUCAGGCCACUACUUAGAUCCACCAAUGUGAAAAUAACACGUUGGCAAAGUGAUAGGGAAAGCGCGAAAAAUAGAAUUUAUUUUUAAUAAUUUCAAAUAGCCACAUGUAAUCGAAUUAAUUUAAGACAACUUGUGUUUUAAAUCUUAAAUGUGGUUUUUUUUUUUUUUAUUUAUUCCAGAGCUUAUGUUAAAAAAUAACAUCUUUUUUUGUUCCUGAGCUUAUGUUAAUGAAUCGACACUAUAACAUCACCGUCAAUCAUGCGUAUACCACAGAUUUCUUAGCUAAUUAUGCCCCGUCUCUACUUUCUACCAUUGGGAUGUCACCAUUUCAAUGAUCCCCCUACUAAUUAUCUCCCUUUCCUCACGCAUGAAAUGUAUGGGGUUGUCUAUCCCCACUUUGUCCGUCCUUAUCUCUUGUUACGAGCCCCAUUAUACCCAAAAAAUAAAAAAAAAUAAAAAAUAACAUAUUUUUAACAUGUGCUCGAUUGAAUUUUUUCUAUACCUGCAUUUUUUGUGGUUAGGAGGGUUGAGCGUCAAGCCGAUUGGAUACGGCCUUCGCAUGCCUUAAUGUAGUUUUUUUAUUAAAUAAAUUGGGUAUUUAUAUUUUAAAAACUACUUCGAAUACUUUUAUUUAAAUAAAAUAAUUUAUUUCAAAAAGUCUCUUGAUUCAAGGGAAAGAAAGCAAGACAAAUAAACUCUCCUGCUGAAGAGUUGCAGGAUGCAACAGUUGAAAGGGAAAUAAACCAAAUGCACGGGAGAAACAUACGUGGCAAAAGCCAUUCGAUUUGUUUAACACAAUAAAAUCAGAAGGCAGAAAAGACACGAUUUCAAUAAAUUCAAAUUGUGUUAAAAAGAAUUUAUUUACAAAUUAGCUAAAAUGAUUUAAUUAGUAAGGAUUUUUUUAAAGUCUUUUAAAAAGUGUACAAAGUAAAACUUAGAGCUAUUCAGACUUUCAUUUAAUUCAGACCUAUUCAAAUUUAAAAAAAAAUAAUCUUAAUUUUUAAAUUAAGUAAAUAAUUGCAUGAAAUAAUAAGUGUUCAGAAUAAUUUUUACAGUGUAAAUAAUUUAAUCCUUUAAAAAUUGAGCACUUGACUUGUUGCUUCCACUAUAAAUGGUAAAAUCAAUUAGAUUGUACUUUAAGAUAACUCGUCAUUUAUUUAACAUAUUAUGAUGUUCUUUUGAUUUGGGCUGCUUCUUAACAUGAGUGAUUAGUAGUUUAGUAGAUAACAAUAUAAAGUGAGAUCCUAACUCAUAUUUAAUAACAAUGAGAAGUACAUCCAAACCUCGUGUCUAAAAUGGCUGCAUUGCGCAUUAAAUUACCUUAUAAAAAAUUAUCGGCAUGCAAUUACAAAACGUGUCACAUAUUAAUUUGUUGAUUAGUUAAUUCUCCGAACGUGAACAAAAAUGAAUAGACAAUUUAAGUAGGCUAGUACAUGCUGCAAUUUAAUGAUGCGUUUACUUCAUGAGAAUGAGAAUGGGGUGGAAUGUGUUUUUUCUCGGCUACAACAACGUGAGUCUGAAUAUAAGAGCUUGCCUAGUGAUAGUGAGUGGGAUUUGGCAGCCACAAUGGUGGAGCAUUUGAAAUCAUUUUACAUGUUAACGGAGAUGUUUUCGGGUACAAAAUACCUUACUGCUAAUUUGUUCUUUCCGUUAAUAUGUAAAAUGAAAAUGUCGAUUAAUGGGUGGCGCACUUCCGAUAAUCUUGCUAUUAGAAUUACGGCUGAUAAAAUGGUUGAUAAAUUUAAAAAAUAUUGGAAUGAAAUUCAUCCGAUGUUAGUUGUGGCUAUAGUUCUUGAUCCGAGAUAUAAGAUGUUGUUGAUUGAUUUUUAUUUCCCAAAGAUCUAUGGUGAUACAGCGGAUGAGCAUAUUGAGCGUGCACAUAAGCUUUGUCAUGAUUUAGUGAAAGAAUAUGAAAUGAAAGCUAUGGUUUUGAGUGAUAGGCAGGAUGUUGGGUUGGAUGAUGUUCCUUUGGAAUCUUCUUCGAAUCCGAAUAAGUAUUGGGAUGUAGAUGAGUUUGAAAUAUUUCGAAGUCGAAAUAAGCGUGUUAAGGUGACUAAGUCGGAGUUGGAUAGGUAUUUAGAUGAUGAAUUAUUGGAUAUUAUUCCGAACUUUGAUAUUUUAGCUUUUUGGAAGAUGCACACAGGCCAAUAUCCUAUUUUUGGCGAGUUGGCCAAGGAUAUCUUAGCCAUUCCUGUAUCCAAUGUUGCCUCUGAGUCCGCUUUUAGUACCGGGGGUGGAUUUUUGAGUCCGCAUCGUAGUAGACUUCAUCCUAACACUUUGGAAUCCUUAAUGUGUGCUCGAAAUUGGAUUUGUGCUUCUUCUCGAGGUAUAAAGUUAUUUGAAUUAUGUUAUCGUAUUAUUUGUUUGCUCAAAAUGUUUUUAAAUCUUAAUCUGUUAUUUUUGUUAUUAGGUGGAGUUCCGGAAAAUGAGAUUUUUGCUGGGGAGGAGUUAAUUUCAGAUGAUGAUGAUGAUGAUGAUGGGGCACAAUCGUUGAGCUGUUUGACAUAAUCUGUUAUUUUAAACUCUUUUAUGAAUUAUGUGUGUUUGAUAUUUUGGGAUUUUUAUAUGUUAUGUUGGUUAUUGAUAUUGGAGUUAUUAUGAUAUGUAUUAUGUAAUAUGUUGGGUGUUAGUAUGCUACAUUUAUUUAGAUUUAUUUGGUGAUUAUUGUGAUGUUCAAUUUAAAUUUUUGAUAGGGAUUGAAUGAAUUUAGUUUAGAAAUUGAAUAAAUUUAGGUAGUGGAUAAUAGAUUGAAAUGAUUUUUAUUUGUUAUUUACUUAAAUUUAUAAAGUAGAUUGAAAUUGAAAUAGUUAAGAUGUUGUAAUAAUUUAUUAUAGAAUUUUUUCCUUUUUUAAUUUUGAUAAUUCCAUUAGAUGUUUGCUUAUAGUUAAGAUGUUUUGAUUUUGGACUGUUAUGGUUUGUUAGAAUUUAGAAGUAAACAAUUGUUUUGACACCUUUUAUUUAUUCUUUUUUGGCGUGUGAUUUGCCUUUUAAUUUUUGUAUGUUGUGAGAAAUGAUGGUUUUUGCAAGUUGGGUUUGCAGUGAAUUUCGAAGCUAUAUGUAAUAUGUUCGUGUUGUGAGAAAUGAUGGUUUUUGCAAGUUGGGUUUGCAGUGAAUUUCGAAGCUAUAUGUAAUAUGUGCGUUUCUGAUUUUGUCCCAUAUAUUAUGACCACUCAAAUUCAUCACCAUUCACCACUCAAAUCCGGGUAGAGAAAACCCGGAAAAAACCCGUGCCCGGCCCGCAUAGAAAAAUUCCGGGCACGGUACGGGUCCGGGUAGCUACAUUUGAUAUCCGGGUUGGUCCCGGGCAGCCCCAAACCCGGACCCGACCCGGACUUUUGCCAUCUCUAGUCAAAAGGUACGGGGUACUAGAGAACGCAAAAGACACAUUUGUAGCCACUCAUUUAUGAGUUGAUGAAGUCUCACUUCCUAAAAUCCCAAAAUAUCCAAUACUCUCGCAAACUUAAAAAAUAAAAAUUAUUGCUGUCACAACAUUACACACUUUCUUUGCCGUCUAGAAAAUGCGUGCUACUACUCAAUUAGCCCAAUUAAUGCCCAUCGAAAAGGCCAUCAAUUUAGCCAGCAAUUUUGUCAAAAUUUCAACAAUUGAAGAAACAAUGAUCACAAACAGAAGAGGUGAAUUUUGAAGUUGAGCAAAUCUUGAGAGCAAGUAUAGAACAAAGCUUGUUAAUAUUUAGUCUUCACAAUUUGAGCACGGACUAAAUAUUAACCAUCCAUCUGCAGAGCAAGUAUAGAACAAAGCUUGUUAGCUUCUUGGGUGAACUGAACACGCUGAACAAAUCUUUUUUUUUUUUUUGGAUUUUUGGAAUUUUUUAAAGUCAUUUAUGUUCGCUGCCAUCUUUUUCUUCUUCUUCGCUGGCGUCUUCAUUGGCAUCUCCUCGUCUGUAGUUUGCUGUGCCUAUAUAUCCAACCAAUAAAUUGGGCAUUAAAUACGAAUGACUGAUGAAUAAAAUGAUUAAAAAAAAAAACAAACAGAGAAAAUUAUAAUAUAACACAUAUAUAUAUUGAAAGAGAAAUUUUGAUUUUAGGAUAGAUCAAUUAGCUAUCACAAACGAAAACAUGAACCAACUAUGUAUAGAAUCAAUUAACUAAAGUUCUCAAGAGUUGACCUGUGCUCCAGAAUUCUUGGAAUCAUCUAUCUCCUUCUGAAUUUCCACGAAGCUUGGGACAAUUACGAACAGCUUUAUGGGAUGCAGAUGGAAAUGGGAUGUGAUAACCCGCAGGCCAAAAGUUGGUGAGGUUUGGUAAGUCUACCAGUCUCAUGUCUAGAAGUUCAUUCAUAACAAUUUCAUUGUAAUCCGUGACAUCUGCUCCAUCUUUAUGCCAGAAUACUUCUUCUAAUUCAUCAUUAAAUCCUAUGUAUAGGUUCUCCAGUUUUUGAAGACUUGGAGCUACACUGAUAUGAAAUAGAUGCUUUAGUUUGGGGCAACUACUGACAUCGAUCCUUGUGAGUUUUGGGAAACAUACAGGUUGCAGAUGAUCCUGAUCCUCAUCCUCAUCAAUGAUUUGCUCUAAUUCCCAGCAAUAGCAAACGUCUAACACCUCCAAUUGCAACAGAUUUCGAGCAAGUGUUGAUGAGAGGAGACGUCUCAGCUUAGUGCACCCCAUUACAGUUAAUUCGGUAAGAUUUUGCAAGCUAAAAUUAUGCGCGGGACCUUCAUGAUAUAAUAAUACUUGCAGUUCUCGAAGGUUUUGCAACCACAACGUCUUCAAACAUGGGAAUAGUUUGUUUUCUUGUCCCUCAGCGAUAAUAGCUUCCACUUGAAAUGCCACAUGUACUCCAAGUUCUUCAAUCCCCAAUUCUUCCAAAUUUUUAAAGCCAUGCUUCAACAGAGCGUCAAUUGUGUCACGCAAAUGGGUGCAUUUGCCUACUUGUAGAAUUCGUAAUUUCUGAGACAAAUAAAUAAAUAACUUGAUGUAAUUGAAAUUUGUUAGCGGCUAGGAUUGUCAAAUUGACAAUUAAGCGACAAAUACUUAAAAAAAUCCAUACAAAAAUAUAAUACUACACAUGUAAACUUAUAAAAUAAUUAUACUCUGUGAAAGUAAGGAAUUUAUAAAAAAAAAAAGAAAUUCGUUGAAAGAGAUCAUGUGAAGUGAUAUAGCAGUGACAUCUGUUUGUUUGAGAAAAAUUAGUAUUCUAUCUCUAUGGUUAAAUUAACUAAUGAAUUGAAUUGGACUAAUAAUAUAUAUACUUUACAAGUGCUUGCAUCCAGUUUUUUUAUAAAGUAAAACAAGAUACGACUUUUAUUUGAAGAAUGAAUUUUAGGUCGUAAAAUAAAGAAAUUUACUCAAGAUUCUGGAUCAUUAUUAUUGUCAUCAUCACCAUUACCACCACCAUGAUUCAUAUUCAUCUCAACACGGCCAAAUGCAAGGUGAUAUGAAUGACUGAUCACAAAAGUUUUUGAUAAACUAUCUUUUUGAGUAAAAUUAAAGUAAAAGAAAGAAAAAAAAACGUAAACACAAGCGAACAUACCUCUCCAAGAUACUGCAAAUUGGCUUCAAGUUCAGUACUGUUGACGGUCAAUUUAGGACAGCUGCUUAGGUCUAACACCUCCAAUGCCGGCCAAGUUGAAUAAUAAUUUUCUGAACAGAAGCUGAUGAGUUCGGGGAGAUCUUUAAAUCUUAAUUUUAUCAACGAAGGGAGCGCAAAUAUUGUAUUUCCAUCUCCUACACUUAUUUCCCUUUCAUUAUGAUCAAAUUUUGCUUCGACGAUACAUUCCAGUCUCUUGCAGUAACUCACUUCCAGACUUUUAAGCUGCACCAAACUUCGAGCUUGUGACAACGUGAAGAUAUAAGUCAAGUUGUUGCACUCUGACACACUCAAUUCUGUAAGAGAUUGGAGGCUGAUCACAUGUUGGGCGGGCGCCUUCCAUAUCCACUUCAGUUCUGGUAAUUCUGACAUAUACAACUUUGCUAAUCUUGAGAGCAUCACAAGAUUCCCACUCUUUCCAUGCGGCGACUUAGAGGCAUCCAUUAUGCAUUCUAAAUCUUUACAAUCGGUGACGUCAAGAACAGUCAACUCAUUUAAUCCCCUUUCAUCUAUGCUUGGCACAAUAUUAUGACAACAUCUUACCCUCUUUAGAUAAAGAUUUUCCAAUUCUGGAUACAAUGCUGAAAAAAUAACUAGCGUCGCUUUAGGAUGGUUCUUCUCAAUGGAUAAGUACCUUGUCCCUCGAUCAAUUUCAUAACCAAAGCUGUCAACUUCACUGAUGCGAUACCUUUGUAAUUUCUGAAAUGAAAAGUCUUUUGGAAGACAUACAACGGAUCCGUCGGGUUGGGACUUCAACUCAGCAUGCCCAGCGUAACUUUCUUCUGAACUCAUCCCUUCAACCUCCCAAUUUUUUAUCACACCAUAAAAUUCUUCUAAUUGAGGAAAUUUAUUUAUCGUAAUGGGAGAAAUAGAGCCAGUAGCAAUAUACAGAAGUUUCAAUCUACUAAGCUCAUCCCCAAAUUCAUCUGGAAUUUCAAUGGGAGACUUCUCGAGAUAAAGUAUUUGAAGUGUCCUUAACUUUCCAAGGAAAGACGCGUCAGUCACCUCACAUCGAAUCAACUGCAGAACUCGAAGUUUAUUGGCGAGGAAUUGAAGUGAUUUAAGUGAAAGAACUCCACCUAUUAUAGUGACAACUUUCAAUGCUGACAUCUCUUUAAAAAAAUGUUCUGGAACUUGCAAUUUGUUGUCAUAUUCAGUAUUCUCCAAUCGCAAAAUAUGAAGGCUAGGGCAUUCCAAACAACUAGGAAGCUCUUCUUUUCCAUUUCCCACCAAAGAGAUUCCUCCGUAUUGUUCUAGGCCUUCUUCCCUUGCCCGUUCCGCCAAUCCAAUGCUAACUUUACUAGUAAAAAAUUUCUUCUCCUCUGAGCCUAUCCAUAAGGCUACAUCGCGAACUACGUCAUGCAUUUUCACAAAUCUGUCAUCAUCAGUGUCUAACAGCAAUGAACAAUCUUUGAGUCCUUUGAUCGUUCCACGCAGUAGGCUUCUGGCUUUUUCGAUUGAUUCAGCUUGAUACCAAACCAACCCCACUGCAUAUCCAAGCAAAUCCUCCAAAUCUAUCUUAUAAUCUUCUGGAAACAGCGAACACAACAAGAAGCAUGACCUGGAAUCCUCACCAUUCAAAUAAUCAUAACUAAAUUUGAGACAACCGUAAACGCCCUGGGAAUCCUUAUCAAUACCUUCUAUCUUAUCGAGUUUUGCAUUUUGUAGUUUAUCCAGUGCUACAUUCCAUUCAUCAGCGGUUCUUCCUCUUAGUGCACUUCCAACAGCUUUAAUAGCUAAAGGCAGCCCCUUACAUUCAUCAGCAACUCGUUUUGAAACAUCAGUCAAGGUUUUAUGAGCAACGUCAAUGCCGGCAUGCUUUCUUAGUAAAUCCAAUCCUUCUGCUUGGUCUAGAGCAUCUAGUUUAAUCCGCGUGUCACAACCCAUGCGAUCACAAACUUGCUGCAAGCGAGUAGUUAGAAGGAUUUUGCAGCAAUUGGCGGGAAUACCUACUAUCUCCAAGUCGAGCUCUUUCCAGACAUCAUCAAGGAUUAUGAGUAUCUUGCGGCCUUUACUCUCAGAGAACAUCAUGCGCAAUCGGUCUGCUCUCUUUUUUUCACCAUCCUCAUCUAACGCCCAACCUAACGACUUUACCAGCUCACUUUGAACAUUUAUUAUGUUUGGAUCCUGAGAUACAGUGGCAAUCCCCACCUCAUCGAAAAUCUUUUCUUGCCGAAGUUGAUUGCCAACAAAUUUUGCCAGGGUUGUCUUUCCUACUCCACCGAGACCAUGCAAUCCCACCAUUUUUGUGCUGUCUUUUUUCAGUGCUUCAAUAAUCAGAUUGCAAGUCAAUUGUGUAGUCUCAAAAGAAGAAACAAAUCUUGGAAUAGGCAUUUCUUUGUCUGAUGGAAGAGGUUUAGGACGGGCAACCGUGUUGAAUUUGCCGCGGUCAUGUAGAUUAGACAACUUGCUAGUCUCCUUUGAUGCUUUUCUACCCAUCCAAUAUUGGCAACCCCAAUUAGGAUACCAUCCAUUAAGACAACUCUUCUUUUCAGCUAUCUUUGCUUUCAACGUUUGGACAUCGGCCAUUUCUUUGACUACAUCCGCCAGCCACUUCUCUACAUCUUUCUCAAUGUCAAUGGCGCGGUGUAUUUGUCGUUCUUGUUCUACUCUUUCAUUGAUGCCAUCUUGUGCCUCCUUCAAAUUAGUUUCUUUAUCCUCAAGUUCUUUAACAAUGCUGUUGAAACAGAACAGAUAGCGAGCUUGUUUUACGGUAGCAUCCACCAAUAAUUCUCCAAGCUUUGAUGCAAUACCUGCUAAAAUUUCCAUGCUAUUUAUC
This 27072-nucleotide long non-coding RNA is filed under the name Citrus maxima (pomelo). RNAcentral describes it as "long non-coding RNA (CMAX_LNC004168)". Lineage: Eukaryota; Viridiplantae; Streptophyta; Magnoliopsida; Sapindales; Rutaceae. The record is from RNAcentral.